RNAcentral lists this transfer RNA (63 nucleotides) under Ixodes ovatus. Its description in RNAcentral is "tRNA-Ala". The record is from RNAcentral. Lineage: Eukaryota; Metazoa; Arthropoda; Arachnida; Ixodida; Ixodidae.
AGAAAAGUAUUUAAAUAUUAUAAAACCUAAUUUGCAAUUAGAAAUUGAAAAAUUCCUUUUCUA